This is an RNA transcript of Vitis vinifera (wine grape), 563 nucleotides long. RefSeq lists it as uncharacterized. The transcript is spliced from 2 exons. Lineage: Eukaryota; Viridiplantae; Streptophyta; Magnoliopsida; Vitales; Vitaceae. The record is from RefSeq and is a predicted model, not a curated record.
UAUUAUUUGUAACCUAAAUUAUAAUUCUCCAUAUUAAUAUUGUUUGGGGAGGUAAAGGAGAUGGCAGUGGGCAGUGGGCAGUGGGCAGUGUUCAGUGUUUUUCCAUCAAACUGCAACUAUGGAGGAUACUCAGCUGAAGCUGUAUUCAUAUUGGCGGAGUUCCUGCUCCUGUCGUGUUCGAAUAGCCCUCAACUUGAAACGUUCCAUUCUUUUUCCUUCUUUCCUUCUUUACUCCAAACCCUAAUUUUCUUUUUCUUUUCAUUAAAUCAAUUUUUGGUUAUUCUAUCUGGGUCUUUUGUGCUUCAACUUUGAACAGGGCUGAAAAACGAGUACAAGGCAGUGAACUUGGUACAAGGCAGUUAGACUCUUCUUGAUACGCAUCAUCAGAACUUCUGAUUUCUUUUUAUUGUUUUUUUUCCCUGUAUUUCUAGGAGAUAAACAUGGAUUUAAUAUAAUUCUUAGUUUUGUUGGGAUCAUCCCGUUCCACUGAUUUUUUCUGUGAAAGGAAUAUAUUUGGGGGUUCUUAUUCAUUGCUUAAUUCCGUUAUAUUCUCAGCUUUCCAA